CGCAGCCGCGGUAAUUCCAGCUCCAAUAGCGUAUAUUAAAGUUGCUGCAGUUAAAAAGCUCGUAGUUGAAUUUCGGGACCAUCAUGUCGGUCGUGCCUCGGUACGUACUGGCAUUGUUGGUUUCUACCUUCUGACGAACCAUGAUGUCAUUUAUUUGGUGUCGUGGGAAAUCAGGACUGUUACUUUGAAAAAAUUAGAGUGUUUAAAGCAGGCUCACGCUUGAAUACAUUAGCAUGGAAUAAUGAAAUAGGACGUUUGAUUCUAUUUUGUUGGUUUCUAGGAUCGACGUAAUGAUUAAUAGGGAUAGUUGGGGGCAUUAGUAUUCAAUUGUCAGAGGUGAAAUUCUUGGAUUUAUUGAAGACUAACUACUGCGAAAAGCAUUUGCCAAGGAUGUUUUCAUUAAUCAAGAACGAAAGUUAGGGGAUCGAAGACGAUCAGAUACCGUCGUAG
Molecule: ribosomal RNA, 450 nt
Filed under: uncultured Glomus
Lineage: Eukaryota; Fungi; Glomeromycota; Glomeromycetes; Glomerales; Glomeraceae
Description: SSU rRNA
Rfam family: Eukaryotic small subunit ribosomal RNA
Source: RNAcentral